AGGACGAACGCUGGCGGCGUGCCUAAUGCAUGCAAGUCGCACGGCAGGAGCUUGCUCCCGCAGUGGCGCACGGCUGAGGAACACGUGGGAAUCGACCCGGCGGUGGGGGACAACCCGGCGAAAGCCGGGCUAAUCCCGCAUCCGUUCCCCCUCGGGGGAAGAAAGCGCUCACGCGCGCCGCCGGACGAGCCCGCGCCCCAUCAGGUUGUUGGCGGGUAAUGGCCCACAAGCCCGUGACGGUCGCUGGUCUGUGAGGACGACCAGCCAGACUGGGACUGAGAACGGCCCAGACUCCUACGGGAGGCAGCAGCAAGGAAUUUUCGGCAAUGGGCGCAAGCCUGACCGAGCAACGCCGCGUGGUGGACGACGGCCUUCGGGUUGUAAACACCGUUUUGGGGGAUGACUUCGACCGUACCCCCGAAUAACGCCCGGCUAACUCUGUGCCAGCAGCCGC
RNAcentral lists this ribosomal RNA (454 nucleotides) under uncultured bacterium. RNAcentral's name for it is "SSU rRNA". It matches the Rfam family "Bacterial small subunit ribosomal RNA", at positions 26 to 518 of the family's 1533-position model. The record is from RNAcentral.